CAUACCCCUUCUCUCUCACUAAGAAUCCUACCCCUACCCCCACCACCACCACCCACCUACCACCACCUGAGUCCGGCCAAAACCCACCACCCCCCUCUCUCUCUACCUUUCUCCCUCUAUAUUUCUACUUUUCUCCACAACCACCACCAACGCCACCAUACUUACCGUUGAACCAGUUGCAAAUCACCGUUAACGGCCACAAAACCCUAGAUCUGGCACCGAGUCAACUGAUUUCAAAAAACGUAACAUCUAUUUGGUCGUCACCGGUUCAAAUCUCAGCGCCAGAGGAGAAGGAAGUAAAGGUCCUGAAACUAGAGAAACCGCCGCCGGUGAAACCGAAACCGGAUGUAGCUUCCACUAGCUCGCCGGAGCGGUUUCUAACAUAACCGCUACUCAAAACCCUAACUGAUUGUGCUUGAAUCGUCGAUACAGAACGAGAAAGCGUUAAAGCUAGCAAAAUCGUUGAAGAGACUAUAUGUGGAGAGGUUGUUGUCUGGGCGACGAAUAGCGGUCGUGGUAGGGAAUGAAGAAGGUAGCAAAAGAGAACAGAUGGAGGAAAAGGAACAAUGUCGGAAAAAAUGGAAGAUGCAGGUUUUGAGAAGGUGAAGUUUAGCAAUUGUGCAAGUUUUGAUAUAUAUGUGAAUGCUCUAAGGGGUUUUCAUGGUAGGUUUUAAAAUUUGGGUUUUUACUUUAAAUCAUGUGAUGGUUGCAGUGAUGGUUGUAGUGGGACUUGGGAGAGGUUGAUGGUGACAAGUGGUGGUGGUGUGUGUGUGAGAGAGGGGGGGGGGGGGAGAGAUGGUAGAGAGAGAGAAUUUAAUAAAUGAGUAAGAUCUCUGUAUAAAAAAUGCCUAAUAUAAAUAAAGGGGUAAAAGGACUAAUUUGCCCUCAUAUGGGGUCCAAUUGGUGAGAUUUAACCAUAAAAACUAACUGAGUUAGGGCUAAAGGACGUAAUAUGCAAGGGUUUGCAAACAUCGAGUACGUUUUUUGUACUUUUUGAAGACAAAGGACACACUUUGCAAUUUAGUGUUAACAUAAAGGACGUUUUAUGUAAUUUACUCUAAAAAAAUAGCACGUUCAAAAAAAUAGCAUGUGAAAAAAAAGUCGCAUAUGGUUAAAAAAAAACAAAAACCGCAUGUUGAAACUGCAUCUCGUACCCAUUGUACGUUAAUGCAAUUUGUACGUUAACCAACCUCUAUAAAUAUAUACUAGUAGGGGACCUGCGCGAUGCCGUUGACACAUGAAUUGUUAAUUCAUUCUAUUAUAUGUAUUCAAAACCUAUGUUUACUCACCAACUUUUUAGUUGACUCUUUAUUUUUAUACAUGUUACAGGAAAUGCAGUUUGAGUUUCUUCAGAGUUUGAUACUACACAUAUAAUGCUAUGGACCUAGUUUAAAUAAAUCAAACAAUAUUUUAUGUUCAUGUUUUUUUUUGUAAAUUAUUUGAUUCUUUUAUGAUUAUGGAAUUAUCU
Molecule: long non-coding RNA, 1468 nt
Filed under: Helianthus annuus (common sunflower)
Lineage: Eukaryota; Viridiplantae; Streptophyta; Magnoliopsida; Asterales; Asteraceae
Description: hypothetical non coding rna
Source: RNAcentral